This 74-nucleotide transfer RNA is filed under the name Alosa alosa (allis shad). Its description in RNAcentral is "tRNA-OTHER". The record is from RNAcentral. Lineage: Eukaryota; Metazoa; Chordata; Actinopteri; Clupeiformes; Clupeidae.
AAUUCAGUGGCCUACUGGUUAGCGCUUCGGACUUGUAACCGGAAGGUUGCCGGUUCGAACCCCGACCAGUAGGC